AGUGAACGCUGGCGGUAGGCCUAACACAUGCAAGUCGAACGGCAGCACAGUAAGAGCUUGCUCUUACGGGUGGCGAGUGGCGGACGGGUGAGGAAUACAUCGGAAUCUACUUUUUCGUGGGGGAUAACGUAGGGAAACUUACGCUAAUACCGCAUACGACCUACGGGUGAAAGCAGGGGAUCUUCGGACCUUGCGCGAUUGAAUGAGCCGAUGUCGGAUUAGCUAGUUGGGGGGGUAAUGGCCCACCAAGGCGACGAUCCGUAGCUGGUCUGAGAGGCUGAUCGGCCACACUGGAACUGAGACACGGUCCAGACUCCUACGGGAGGCAGCAGUGGGGAAUAUUGGACAAUGGGCGCAAGCCUGAUCCAGCCAUACCGCGUGGGUGAAGAAGGCCUUCGGGUUGUAAAGACCUUUUGUUGGGAAAGAAAAGCAGCAGGUUAAUACGCCGCUGUUCUGACGGUACCCAAAGAAUAAGCACCGGCUAACUUCGUG
Molecule: ribosomal RNA, 492 nt
Filed under: uncultured bacterium
Lineage: Bacteria
Description: partial 16S ribosomal RNA
Rfam family: Bacterial small subunit ribosomal RNA
Source: RNAcentral